CGUUCGAUAGCUCAGUGGCAGAGCACCUGGUCAACACCCAGGGUGCCGGGCUCUCGGAACUCCCUCGAAGGACCA
This 75-nucleotide transfer RNA is filed under the name Frigoribacterium sp. SL97. Its description in RNAcentral is "tRNA-Val". The record is from RNAcentral. Lineage: Bacteria; Bacillati; Actinomycetota; Actinomycetes; Micrococcales; Microbacteriaceae.